AUGCGUUAAGGAUUGCAGCGACAUCCUUUUGUUUUUACAAAAGAUAUAGCGGAAAGCCUGACCUCAA
This 67-nucleotide small RNA is filed under the name Formosa sp. Hel1_31_208. Its description in RNAcentral is "Flavo-1 RNA". The stretch from base 9 to 67 matches the Rfam family "Flavo-1 RNA", at positions 9 to 76 of the family's 76-position model. Lineage: Bacteria; Pseudomonadati; Bacteroidota; Flavobacteriia; Flavobacteriales; Flavobacteriaceae. The record is from Rfam by way of RNAcentral.